RNAcentral lists this transfer RNA (69 nucleotides) under Ictidomys tridecemlineatus (thirteen-lined ground squirrel). Its description in RNAcentral is "Spermophilus tridecemlineatus (thirteen-lined ground squirrel) tRNA". It matches the Rfam family "tRNA". From Rfam's summary of the family: Transfer RNA (tRNA) molecules are approximately 80 nucleotides in length. Their secondary structure includes four short double-helical elements and three loops (D, anti-codon, and T loops). Further hydrogen bonds mediate the characteristic L-shaped molecular structure. tRNAs have two regions of fundamental functional importance: the anti-codon, which is responsible for specific mRNA codon recognition, and the 3' end, to which the tRNAs corresponding amino acid is attached (by aminoacyl-tRNA synthetases). tRNAs cope with the degeneracy of the genetic code in two manners: having more than one tRNA (with a specific anti-codon) for a particular amino acid; and 'wobble' base-pairing, i.e. permitting non-standard base-pairing at the 3rd anti-codon position. The record is from Rfam by way of RNAcentral. Lineage: Eukaryota; Metazoa; Chordata; Mammalia; Rodentia; Sciuridae.
GGAGUUGUAGCUCAGUGGUAGAGCGCUUGCUUCAUACGUGUGAGACACUGGGUUUGAUUCCUAGCACCA